GAUGAACGCUGACAGAAUGCUUAACACAUGCGAGUCUUUGGCGAAGCUGUGCUCGCACAGCCUAGCCAAGGCGGACGGGUGAGUAACGCGUAAGGAACUUGCCCUGCAGUCAGGGAUAACAGACGGAAACGACUGAUAAGACCUGGUAAAGUCAGGCGGACUCAUGUCCAGCCUGAUGAAAAGAGAUGCUGCAGGAGAGCCUUGCGUCCUAUUAGCUUGUUGGUGGGGUAACGGCCCACCAAGGCGAUGAUAGGUAGCCGGCCUGAGAGGGUGGACGGCCACAAGGGGACUGAGAUACGGCCCUUACUCCUACGGGAGGCAGCAGUGGGGAAUAUUGGACAAUGGGGGCAACCCUGAUCCAGCAAUUCUGUGUGCACGAUGAAGGUUUUCGGAUUGUAAAGUGCUUUCAGCAGGGAAGAAAAAAAUGACGGUACCUGCAGAAGAAGCGACGGCUAAAUACGUGCCAGCAGCCGCGGUAAUACGUAUGUCGCAAGCGUUAUCCGGAAUUAUUGGGCAUAAAGGGCAUCUAGGCGGCCAGAUAAGUCUGGGGUGAAAACUUGCGGCUCAACCGCAAGCCUGCCCUGGAAACUAUGCGGCUAGAGUACUGGAGAGGUGGACGGAACUGCACGAGUAGAGGUGAAAUUCGUAGAUAUGUGCAGGAAUGCCGAUGAUGAAGAUAGUUCACUGGACGGUAACUGACGCUGAAGUGCGAAAGCUNNGGAGCAAACNNG
RNAcentral lists this ribosomal RNA (731 nucleotides) under uncultured Leptotrichia sp. RNAcentral's name for it is "bacterial SSU rRNA". It matches the Rfam family "Bacterial small subunit ribosomal RNA", at positions 28 to 776 of the family's 1533-position model. Lineage: Bacteria; Fusobacteriati; Fusobacteriota; Fusobacteriia; Fusobacteriales; Leptotrichiaceae. The record is from RNAcentral.